UGCCAGCAGCCGCGGUAAUACGGAGGGUCCGAGCGUUGUCCGGAAUUAUUGGGUUUAAAGGGUGCGUAGGCUGUUUGAUCAGUCAGAGGUGAAAUCUCAAGGCUCAACCUUGAAACUGCCUUUGAUACUGUCAGACUUGAAUUUACUAGAGGUAAGCGGAAUUUAUGAUGUAGCGGUGAAAUGCAUAGGUAUCAUAAAGAACACCGAUAGCGUAGGCAGCUUACUGGAGUAUUAUUGACGCUGAGGCACGAAAGCGUGGGUAGCGAACGGGAUUAGAUA
This 279-nucleotide ribosomal RNA is filed under the name uncultured bacterium. RNAcentral's name for it is "partial 16S ribosomal RNA". It matches the Rfam family "Bacterial small subunit ribosomal RNA", at positions 506 to 784 of the family's 1533-position model. The record is from RNAcentral.